CUUACAAUGCCAGCCGUUGGUGCUCGCGCCGGGGUUCACCCGGUGCAGUCAAACGGGAAGCAAGAGGGUCACGCGUCAUCGCCGAUGCCAGCCUGACUUGCGCUGCCCCCGCAACGGUCGGCGGUCGAGUGUGUGCAACGCCAGUUUGCACUUGCUCAGCCUGUGUCCUCCAGCCACUGGGCCUUCGGGCCUGGGAAGGCCACACAGGUUGCACCGCCUAGCCCGGAUACCGGCCAGCAGGGGGUGCGUGCG
This 252-nucleotide non-coding RNA is filed under the name Burkholderiales bacterium. The record is from RNAcentral. Lineage: Bacteria; Pseudomonadati; Pseudomonadota; Betaproteobacteria; Burkholderiales.